AAUAAUGGACAAUGGGUGCAAUGCUGAUCCAGCCAUGCCGCGUGUUUGUAGAAGAUCUUCGGAUUGUAAAGCACUUGAAUUUGGGAGGAAGGGCAGUUAACGAAUACUUAACUGUUUUGACGUUACCACAAGAAUAAGCAGUGGCUAACUUCGUUCCAGCAGCCGCGGUAAUACGAAGGGUGCAAGCGGUAAUCGGAAUUACUGGGCGUAAAGCGCGCGUAGGUGGUUCGUUAAGUUGGAAGUGAAAGCACCGGGCUCAACCUGGGAAUUGCUUUCAAAACUGGCGAGCUAGAGUACGGUAGAGGGUGGUGGAAUUUACUGUGUAGCGGUGAAAUGCGUAGAUAUAGGAAGGAACAUCAGUGGCGAAGGCGACCACCUGGACUGAUACUGACACUGAGGUGCGAAAGCGUGGGGAGCAAACAGG
Molecule: ribosomal RNA, 424 nt
Filed under: uncultured bacterium
Lineage: Bacteria
Description: partial 16S ribosomal RNA
Rfam family: Bacterial small subunit ribosomal RNA
Source: RNAcentral